Molecule: long non-coding RNA, 6702 nt
Filed under: Olea europaea (common olive)
Lineage: Eukaryota; Viridiplantae; Streptophyta; Magnoliopsida; Lamiales; Oleaceae
Description: long non-coding RNA (OEUR_LNC010254)
Source: RNAcentral
UUAAAGAUGUGCAACAGUAUUGUUGUUUUAUGAUCCCUGUGUUAAUCUUUCCUCUUCACCGAAACUAUCUAAUCCACUUGUAAAUUUUUUUCUUUCCUCCAGAAAACUUGCUCUUGACAGCAGACCACAAAACUGUUAAGCUGGCUGAUUUUGGUUUGGCAAGAGAAGAAUCAUUGACAGAGAUGAUGACUGCCGAGACUGGAACCUAUCGCUGGAUGGCUCCAGAAGUAGUUCGAUUAACCUUUGUUCUUCUUAUUUCUUUUUCUAUUUUUGUUUUUUAAAUCAACAGGAUUGCUGAAAAUCUCUUCCUUUUUUGGCUAAUGGUUGCAGCUUUAUAGUACAGUCACCCUUCGUCAUGGAGAGAAGAAACAUUAUAACAAUAAGGUGGACGCUUACAGUUUUGCAAUUGUGUUAUGGGAGCUCAUACAUAAUAAGUUGCCUUUUGAAGGCAUGUCAAAUUUGCAGGCGGCCUAUGCUGCUGCUUUUAAAGUAAUUCCCUUCUCUUAAAUUGUUUAAUAUGUUGGUAGCCUCAAGUCAAUAAAAUGCGAGUUUUUCAAUACAUUGGCCUAAUAGGUAGAAAAGAUGCUAGCCUUGUUUGAGGUUAUGUAUGAAAGACAUCGGAAUGAGGAUAUUCACCACAACGUUGGGGAUUCUUCUUGCUACACUGCCCCCGCUUCCAUUGCCUGGCUGCCUCAUCUCUAUUUUUUACCCCCUCACUUGACGAUUCUAAAGAUAACUUUGUUUAUGCAACUGAAAGACUUCAUUGAGUUUUUUAAAAAGCCACGGGUAUAGGGGCUGUGUAUUGUAGUUUGUUAUUUGUUACUUCAAAUUUGUACCUUCCUUCUCAGAAUGUAAGGCCAAACGCUGAUGAUCUUCCUGAGGAUUUGGCUUUAAUUGUGACUUCAUGCUGGAAAGAAGAUCCAAAUGAGCGUCCCAACUUCACUCAGAUAAUACAGAUGCUUCUGCAUUCUCUCUCAAGAAUUUCACCACCAGAACCCGUUGAACCACCCAAGAUUUUCACUUCCAAGAAUGUCGUCUUCCCACCAGCAUCUCCAGGCACAAGCGCUUUGAUGGCAGGGAGAGAUGACGAUGGCGACACACCAAUGGAAAACAAUUCAAGAGGAUUCUUCUCCUGUUUUCACCAGUGCUACUAAUCUCUAUGCAUAUUUGUUAUAUACUGGUCAAGACGGGACAAUAUUAGUGGGCAAGAUUUUAGCUUCCUUUUUCUUAGAUAAUGGAGUUUAGGUUGCUGUGAUGUAUUGUAGCUGUAAAAUAAGGUCCAUCCAAAGGCCUAUACUCCAUUAAUUUGUUAGACUUCAGAUUAUAGUGCCAUUUGUACUCAUUGCAGCUGUGUAAGGAACCACCUUCUUAAUAGCUUCAUUGGCUUUUGUGUUUGUUUAUAUACAUUGCACACUGCUGGUUCCUCACAGGACCGGUAUUUACCUUACCAUUGCAACUGCAAAUGGGCAAAUGCAGUAAAAUCCCAAAAAAGUUAAAAUAAUGGAUUGUUGUGGCCUCUCCAAGUUACAGUAUUUUGAAGUUGGAAAACUAAAACAAAUGGCAUGAAAUGUGGGACAGAAAACAUUCAAUCCGUAACACACUUUGUGCCUUCAUUCAAUUAAAAUGCCAAAAUAAUAAUAAUAAUAACAAUAAAUAGCAGGGCGCCUGUUUAUAUACCAAUUGGACAAUACGACGUUGAAAAGUUUUUAUCCUGCUCACAAGAGAUAGGAAAUUAGGCUGUCUUUUCUAUUAGUAUAAUAAGUAGCUUGAAUUUGAUUAAGAGUAAUGCAAUUUAUCACUCUAGGAGUUUAUAUCAUAUUAUUAUACCGUCCAACUAUGGCAAGUGAGCCUUAUAAAUCACAUCAGCAGUAAAAAGUUUUUAUCUAGAGGAAGUUUUUAUCCUGCUACUCGUCACCUCAGUAGUUGGAGGUUUUAGCCCUUGUAUGGGCCUUAUUUUUUCAAAUUAUAAUGAUAGGUGAUGUGCAAGAUUCCAUCAUACCCGAACAUAAUAUCCUGAGGAUAUUGAAUGACAUCCCAUUGCCAUUUUACAAUCGAUGUGCUCGAGAAUUGUCCUCGGAGAUGUGUAAGUGCUAGAGGAUAUCCGGUCGCACGGUUACAACAUUCUGUGGUUGACAUCCUCGGGAAUGGAAGAUCCUUAAUGGCCCAGAUAGUUGCUAUUGACCCAAUAGGAUCCCUAUGAACUUAGGACUCUAACUCUAACCAACUAUACCAACGCUUGACUUCCACACGGACUCCAUCUUCAACACGUCACUACAAUGACUAACGAUUGCAAUAUCAUUCCAACUUUUCUAUCUGACGGGAUUAUUGGAUAAGAACAUUCCCCCAUUUCAAAUCCUACUAGAGGUCUACUACCUACCCCUAUAAAUACAAAUCAUUGGGACAUUACCCAGGUAUGUUUUUCAUUAUUUCCAAUUUAUAGCCUCACGUACAAAUUUCAUUUUUGACUUACGCAUCGGAGGGACGAUGAGAGCAAACCACGUUGCCUUUGUUUCAGGUAACAGAAGACUAUGAUUGUGCUCAUUGACAGUCCUCAAGCUUGAGAAAUCAGCAUUGCGGACUUUUGGUAACAUCAUUGGGGCCGUCUAUGGGAAGCGCUACCAAAAGCUAUGGUUAACACACGAUCAAGUCUUCCUUUUGCAAGCUUAUCCAUUCCCAACCCUCAUCUUCUCGAAGGUUAACCUGCACCUUAAGAAGAGUCAUCAGAAAUACUCGCGCCCCAGCCAGCAGUCGUUACAACCACAGCUUUUGAAGAGCUCCAUCAAUAGGUAGCCACGCUAACUCAACUGUCGAGUCAAAGAAAUUCGCAUUUGUCACCGGUGCAAGCAGGGCAUGGUGGUUUUAUGGCUGAUGCUCGAACCCGAGCACCAAACCUCGCAACUGGUGGAGUAGGUACCUCGGGUAUUCGUAACAUGGUCUCGGGCUCGAGAUCGGUUGCUAUGGAUUCCGGAGAGAUUGCUCGGAUCGUUAAGAAGGAAUUACAGCUGGCUUGCAACGGAAUGCUUAGAGGCCAACGGAUUUUAUCCCUAACACUCCAUUCACCCCAGAGAUAUUGUCAUAUCCCCUGCCUGACAGAUUCAAAUAUCCUUGCAUUAAAGAGUAUGAUGGGACGAUCGAUCCAAUCAAUCAUCUCAAUGUAUAUACUGAUGUCAUGAAUUUGCAAGUUGUGUCGGAUCAAGUUAUGUGCAAGGGCUUCCCGCAAACGCUGACAAACGUUGCUAGGGAUUGGUUCUCAACAUUGGAGCCCAACUUCAUAGCCUCAUUCUCAGAUUUGGCUGAUAAGUUCUCAGGCUUUUUUGCAAGUAGCAAGCGAAUCAAAAAAACUGCGGCCUCUUUCAUGCAACUUCGCCAAGGACCCUGCGAGGAUUUAUGAUGAGGUUCAACAAGGAAAGACUUCAAAUACCCGACUUGCACAUCAUAGCGAUUGUCUCCGCCCUCACUUAUGCCAUAAGAUAUGAAGCCUUCAAGAUGUCCUUAUCAAAGACCCCGCCACAGACAGUGACCAAGCUCCUUACUCGAGCUGAAAAACACCUUAAUAUGGAGGAAACGUUGAAUCUAAGGAGAUCUGGUCCUUCCCACGAAAAGGUCGAGAACAAGAAGCAACGUGAUCCCAUUUCCCGGCUAGAGAAUCCUCAGAAGAAGCGCAAGAAUGAAGGCCCACUAGGGCCUCUUACCCGGUUGAACACCUCCAAGGUAAAUAUCUUAAUGGAGAUCAAGGAUAUGAAAGAGUUGAAGUAGCCUUCAAUAAUGAAGUCACCCCCUGACACAAGAGAUAGGAGCAAGUAUUGUGAAUCGAAAUAUUUUAGAAUAACGUAGAACGUUUGUUCAACUUUGAUUAAUUCUAUUAAAAUAUCCUAGCCUUUUCAACGGAUCACCCCUAUACCGCCACCCACUAACGCAUGCACCCACCCCACCCCGCACGCGAACCAUGUUCAAAGUCACUCCGCUUCGUCCUUCAGAAAAUAAUUGAAAAUGUCCAUCUGCUUAUAUUUCAACACACUCAACUCCCUUCGCCACAUAUUUCUGCGGAUCAAACAGUAAUCGACGUCAGCUUCCAAUUUUCAAUAGCCUUUCGAGAAUUUAUCUCGAUUAUUUAGGGUUCUUCUUAUGCUUCCAGUACCCAUUGAUCUGCUUCAUUUCGAAAGAAUUUUUGGCGGCGAAUUAUAUGAAAACAUGUACUUUGGGAUUUGAAUGCAGUCUAGUUCAGUUGGAAAGAUAUUGGGCAGUGAAGGACUUUUCUAUUUCAUAUAUUUAGUUGGGUACAAUUGCUAGCGAGUAUAGUUUUUCGAGGGUUUUACUUCAAAUGUGCGAAAAUUGCACAAUUUUUGAUAUCGGGACUAGUGGAACAUAAUUGCGUCUAUUUAGAGGGUUUAGAGAAAGAGAAUUAGGGAAAAAUGGGAUCUGAGAAUAGAUUUUACUCUGAAGCAGAAUUUAAGUUGGAACCCAAAUGGUUGGUCGACCCGAAACUUCUGUUUGUUGGUCCGAAGAUUGGAGAAGGUGCUCAUGCCAAAGUGUACGAGGGAAAGUAAGUUGACUUUCAUUCUUCUGUUUAAAUCUUGAUCGCAGAGUGGUUUACAAUUCAGAAAUCUAAGUAUUAAUUUCAAGCUUUUAAGCGUAUAUUUAACGCAAUCUUUUGAUUGAUUCCAAGGAACAUUUAAUUAACACCUCUAAAUUGUGCCUUUUCAAUGGUUUUAUACGAUCUCUAAAUAUCUGUAAAGAUUAGCAUUUUGAAAUUUCUGUAAAUGAUCAAUAUUUCAGUUUUUGAAAUGAGAGAAUUAAUGCAUUCAGAUGCAGAUUUCUGCUGUAUGAGCCCGGCUUUAGCAGUUUUCUUUCAUUGUGAAGCAGGUAGCUAACCUUCUCUUUUCCUGGCCAUCUUUUAGAUACAAAAACCAGAAUGUGGCUAUCAAAAUUGUUAACAAAGGGGAUACAUCGGAAGAGGUUGCCAAGAGGGAGGCCAGAUUUGCAAGAGAAGUUGCUAUGUUAUCCAAAGUCCAACACAAGAACAUGGUUAAGGUUGUGCAUCAAUUAUCAAACGCGUCGUUUUUCGUUACAGUGUUUAGAUGUUCUUCCCAAUACACCUAUGCAUACGAAUAUGCAUACACACAUACUUGUGUUGAUACUGUAUACACAUUCAUGAAUAACGCGUAUGCAUCUAGAGAAAUUAGUGACUUUGUGUAGUAACUGUGAAAUAUGGCUGCUCCAUACAAUUUUUCGAAUAUUUAUGCGUAUGCUGUGUCUGUUACUUAUGGAUGUAUAUACGUUCAUAUAGACAUAUUCGUUCUUGCUUAUGCAUGCUAUGAUAUGCGUACAUGUAUGCUGGACAAUAUUCUUUAUGUGUGGCUGCUGAAUUUCAUGACGAACACUACAAGUUUCUUCCAGCAUUCUGACACUAUUUUUCUCCAUAGUUUAUUGGGGCUUGCAAGGAACCUGUCAUGGUCAUUGUUACCGAGCUUCUGCUUGGUGGUACGCUGCGAAAAUUUUUGUUGAACAUGCGACCGAGGUGUUUAGAUAUGCGAGUUGCAAUUGGAUUUGCGCUUGACAUAGCUCGUGCAAUUGAAUGUUUACACUCGCAUGGAAUCAUACAUCGUGACCUUAAACCUGGUAAGAGUUUCAAUAACUCAAGCGGACCUGAAAGACUACAAAGAGCAAGAAAAUAAAUAAAUGGUGUAGUCAAACCUGCAAUAAAUGGGUCUAAGACUGGGUAAUGACUAAAGUGUGAAAUACAUUCCAAUCGGAAAGGAAUUUCAUUAUACAGAAAAGAAAGAUAUGCUAUUUUUUGUUUGAUGAUUAAGAAAAUAUAUUCGGAUGCAUACCAUUGUUGUUAUAUAGUGUUUUGUAGGAAGAUGUCCUCUUUAAACUAUUUACUAUAUUUAUUCCAGUUGUUGCACAAAAAGUGAUUAGCUUAUUUUCAGAACUCGGGAUUAUACAAUACUACGGAAAUUCUCUCUGUCCUGAUUGAUGAAUUAAUUAACCAAUAAGGGGAAUACAGUUUGCGCAUUUUACAAUGUAUGCAAGGCACCAAUAUGUGAAUGUGAUGAAAAAAGCUUGGAUUUAGUUGGUUGCGUUGAUGUCUGGAGCUGAGAUCACAUGUCUUGCACUAUACUUAUGAAUUUAGAAUCAAUUAUUAUCCUUUUUGGUGAAAAGCUUUUCUCAGUUUCUCACACAAGAUCUGUUUUGAAAGAAACAUGGAAAAUAAUAUCUGUAGAAAAAUUGUCUUCAAUAAGUGAGCAAAACUUUUUGUUUACUGAUCUUGCUUUCAGACCUGUAUCACCUGUUUGACAAACAUUUAAAAAAGAUUUUUUGGGAAAAUGACUUUUGGAAUAGUGAUUUUUCGGAGAAUCUGUGGUUAAAAAGUAGGAAAAAUUUGGGUUUUAUGUGCAAAAUAUUUUAUUGUGGGAAUGUGAGGUUGAAAAUGAAUUUGAGAAAAGAGUUGAGAAAAUGUUGGGGAAGUACAGAAUGGAUUAAAGAUGUGCAACAGUAUUGUUGUUUUAUGAUCCCUGUGUUAAUCUUUCCUCUUCACCGAAACUAUCUAAUCCACUUGUAAAUUUUUUUCUUUCCUCCAGAAAACUUGCUCUUGACAGCAGACCACAAAACUGUUAAGCUGGCUGAUUUUGGUUUGGCAAGAGAAGAAUCAUUGACAGAGAUGAUGACUGCCGAGACUGGAACCUAUCGCUGGAUGGCUCC